RNAcentral lists this ribosomal RNA (324 nucleotides) under uncultured bacterium. RNAcentral describes it as "bacterial SSU rRNA". It matches the Rfam family "Bacterial small subunit ribosomal RNA", at positions 28 to 334 of the family's 1533-position model. The record is from RNAcentral.
GAUGAACGCUGGCGGCGUGCUUAACACAUGCAAGUCGAACGAAGCAUUUACACGGAACCCUUCGGGAGGAAGUGUUUAUGACUGAGUGGCGGACGGGUGAGUAACGCGUGGGCAACCUGCCCCGUACCGGGGGAUAACAGCCGGAAACGGCUGCUAAUACCGCAUACGCUUGGAAGGCCGCAUGGCUUUUCAAGCAAAACUCCGGUGGUACGGGAUGGGCCCGCGUCUGAUUAGCUUGUUGGCGGGGUAACGGCCCACCAAGGCGACGAUCAGUAGCCGGCCUGAGAGGGCGGCCGGCCACAUUGGGACUGAGACACGGCCCAG